This 253-nucleotide ribosomal RNA is filed under the name uncultured bacterium. RNAcentral's name for it is "partial 16S ribosomal RNA". It matches the Rfam family "Bacterial small subunit ribosomal RNA", at positions 524 to 776 of the family's 1533-position model. The record is from RNAcentral.
UACGAAGGGGGCUAGCGUUGCUCGGAAUUACUGGGCGUAAAGCGCACGUAGGCGGCUUUCUAAGUCGGGGGUGAAAUCCUUGAGCUCAACUCCAGAACUGCCUUCGAUACUGGAAAGCUCGAGACCGGGAGAGGAGGGUGGAAUAGCCAGUGUAGAGGUGAAAUUCGUAGAUAUUGGCUGGAACACCGGUGGCGAAAGCGGCUCUCUGGCCCGGUUCUGACGCUGAGGCGCGAAAGCGUGGGGAGCAAACAGG